CAAUAGCGUAUAUUAAAGUUGUUGCAGUUAAAAAGCUCGUAGUUGGACUUCAGGCCUGGUUGGGCGGUCCGCCUCACGGUGUGUACUGUCUGACUGGGUCUUACCUCUUGGUGAACCGGCGUGUCCUUUACUGGAUGCGUCGGGGAACCAGGACUUUUACCUUGAGAAAAUUAGAGUGUUCAAAGCAGGCCUAUGCCUGAAUACAUUAGCAUGGAAUAAUAAAAUAGGACGUGCGGUUCUAUUUUGUUGGUUUCUAGAGUCGCCGUAAUGAUUAAUAGGGAUAGUUGGGGGCAUUGGUAUUGAGUCGCUAGAGGUGAAAUUCUUGGAUUGACUCAAGACCGACUAUUGCGAAAGCAUUUGCCAAGGAUGUUUUCAUUA
Molecule: ribosomal RNA, 378 nt
Filed under: uncultured eukaryote
Lineage: Eukaryota
Description: partial 18S ribosomal RNA
Rfam family: Eukaryotic small subunit ribosomal RNA
Source: RNAcentral